GACGAACGCUGGCGGCGUGCUUAACACAUGCUUUUCGAACGGAAAGGCCCUGCUUUUGUGGGGUGCUCGAGUGGCGAACGGGUGAGUAACACGUGAGUAACCUGCCCUUGACUUUGGGAUAACUUCAGGAAACUGGGGCUAAUACCGGAUAGGAGCUCCUGCUGCAUGGUGGGGGUUGGAAAGUUUCGGCGGUUGGGGAUGGACUCGCGGCUUAUCAGCUUGUUGGUGGGGUAGUGGCUUACCAAGGCUUUGACGGGUAGCCGGCCUGAGAGGGUGACCGGCCACAUUGGGACUGAGAUACGGCCCAGACUCCUACGGGAGGCAGCAGUGGGGAAUAUUGCACAAUGGGCGGAAGCCUGAUGCAGCAACGCCGCGUGCGGGAUGACGGCCUUCGGGUUGUAAACCGCUUUCGCCUGUGACGAAGCGUGAGUGACGGUAAUGGGUAAAGAAGCACCGGCUAACUACGUGCCAGCAGCCGCGGUGAUACGUAGGGUGCGAGCGUUGUCCGGAUUUAUUGGGCGUAAAGGGCUCGUAGGUGGUUGAUCGCGUCGGAAGUGUAAUCUCGGGGCUUAACCCUGAGCGUGCUUUCGAUACGGGUUGACUUGAGGAAGGUAGGGGAGAGUGGAAUUCCUGGUGGAGCGGUGGAAUGCGCAGAUAUCAGGAGGAACACCAGUGGCGAAGGCGGUUCUCUGGGCCUUUCCUGACGCUGAGGAGCGAAAGCGUGGGGAGCGAACAGGCUUAGAUACCCUGGUAGUCCACGCUGUAAACGGUGGGUACUAGGUGUGGGGUCCAUUCCACGGGUUCCGUGCCGUAGCUAACGCUUUAAGUACCCCGCCUGGGGAGUACGGCCGCAAGGCUAAAACUCAAAGGAAUUGACGGGGCCCCGCACAAGCGGCGGAGCAUGCGGAUUAAUUCGAUGCAACGCGUAGAACCUUACCUGGGUUUGACAUGGAUCGGGAGUGCUCAGAGAUGGGUGUGCCUCUUUUGGGGUCGGUUCACAGGUGGUGCAUGCCUGUCGUCAGCUCGUGUCGUGAGAUGUUGGGUUAAGUCCCGCAACGAGCGCAACCCUUGUUCACUGUUGCCAGCACGUUAUGGUGGGGACUCAGUGGAGACCGCCGGGGUCAACUCGGAGGAAGGUGGGGAUGACGUCAAGUCCUCAUGCCCCUUAUGUCCAGGGCUUCACGCAUGCUACAAUGGCUGGUACAGAGAGUGGCGAGCCUGUGAGGGUGAGCGAAUCUCGGAAAGCCGGUCUCAGUUCGGAUUGGGGUCUGCAACUCGACCUCAUGAAGUCGGAGUCGCUAGUAAUCGCAGAUCAGCAACGCUGCGGUGAAUACGUUCCCGGG
Molecule: ribosomal RNA, 1343 nt
Filed under: uncultured bacterium
Lineage: Bacteria
Description: 16S ribosomal RNA
Rfam family: Bacterial small subunit ribosomal RNA
Source: RNAcentral